Molecule: ribosomal RNA, 422 nt
Filed under: uncultured bacterium
Lineage: Bacteria
Description: bacterial SSU rRNA
Rfam family: Bacterial small subunit ribosomal RNA
Source: RNAcentral
AAUUUUGGACAAUGGGGGAAACCCUGAUCCAGCCAUUCCGCGUGAGUGAAGAAGGCCUUCGGGCUGUAAAGCUCUUUUGUCCGGAACGAAACGGUGAGCGUGAAUAUCGCUCGCUACUGACGGUACCGGAAGAAUAAGCACCGGCUAACUACGUGCCAGCAGCCGCGGUAACACGUAGGGGGCGAGCGUUGUCCGGAUUUAUUGGGCGUAAAGAGCUCGUAGGCGGUUUCGUUAGUCGGGUGUGAAAACUCUAGGCUCAACCUGGAGACGCCACCCGAUACUGCGAUGACUAGAGUCCGGUAGGGGAGUGUGGAAUUCCUGGUGUAGCGGUGAAAUGCGCAGAUAUCAGGAGGAACACCAACGGCGAAGGCAGCACUCUGGGCCGGAACUGACGCUGAGGAGCGAAAGCGUGGGUAGCGAAC